ACCAGCAGUAUGACUGUUUUUUCCCCAGUAUUUGUAGGAGGCCACCAGAGAGACAGGAUUGCAAGGUUUUAAAUAUGCUAGUGUCAUGAGGUCAUGGAUUUCCUACCUGAAACAGAUAGUGUGACUGCCCUGCUAUAGCCAUGUUUGGCCAGUGUAGGAAUUUUGAGAACAGUGAACACUUAAUACUCAGAUGGCAUUUUGCCACCCCGACAAGGACCAUACCUGCCAUUCCAUUGUAGUUCGCCUUGCCCAGAAGUUUUAAAAUUUUUCUUUCAGCCUGGGAUUUCAAGUGUACUACAGCAUCCUCUUCACCUAUACAAGCGUCUGUUGUUUUAAAAGGAAACUGAUGAAGGAAAAGAGGGAGAAGAAACCAGCUGCCUGGAAGACUGACCCUCUGAGAUGCUCUGGAGCCGUGCAGUUGUUCUCACUGGCAGAUCAGUCCUGUCCCUCCAAUAAAAGAGAGGGUGAUCUUGGUGUGAGAUGUUCUCUUUUGAAGUGUGAUCAAAGCUUUGAGCUCAGGGAUUGCUUAGCAAGGUGGAAUUCUUUCUUUCUCUUGAGAGUUUAAAUGACCUCUGUAAUUGAUAGGCAUCGUAGUCACAAAAUGAAGUUUUGAAGUGGAGAAGAUAAAAGGUCACUACCUUGGAAAAUAGUGAGAAUUUCUUUCCUUUGGUGUUGCCUUCAUUUCACACUUGAUAAUUCUGUAAGGUUCUGAUUGUCACCCUGCAGCAGUUUCCAUAUGACUCAGAAAAAGCCCCCAGGCUCUUGCUACCCAGCUUGAGAUCAUUAAAAUGCUUGAGUGAACUUUGGAGUUCCUGUCUGUUGAAUAGAGAUGACACUGACCAGAGAGGGAAACUUACGUAGGAGGUGUGUCUGGGUCAGGCAUCAAAAUGCU
RNAcentral lists this long non-coding RNA (892 nucleotides) under Homo sapiens (human). Its description in RNAcentral is "HSALNT0180894". The record is from RNAcentral. Lineage: Eukaryota; Metazoa; Chordata; Mammalia; Primates; Hominidae.